This is a long non-coding RNA of Tyto alba (common barn owl), 565 nucleotides long. RefSeq lists it as uncharacterized. The transcript has 2 exons. The record is from RefSeq and is a predicted model, not a curated record. NCBI's taxonomy places the organism in Eukaryota, Metazoa, Chordata, Aves, Strigiformes, Tytonidae.
GCCCCCGCAGGGCCGCCCCCCAGCCCCGAGGGCCGGUCGGCGCCGGCGGUGAGCGGCGGAGAAGCAGGACCGGAGCACUAGGAAGGCUCAGCUGAGGUUAGACCCUUGCCUGGUUGUAUGUAUAUAUAUAUAUGUAUACUGUGCAUACAUAUACAUACAUAGCAAGAAGACAAAGUUGCCAAGGGAAUCUCAGCAAGAAAAUCUGAAGUUUCAGGGAUGCAAAUAGAAGGAUUAAGGUGAUUUAGCCAACCUCCUGCAAGAAGUCAGCGACGGGAGCACCGGCACCUGCAGCUUGGCCACUCAGCACCCUGAACCCUGCCCCUCCAGCAGCACAGUCCUUCGGGCCCGGAGAGGCCCUCGGCGGCCGGAUCCCCCUCCACCACAGCUGUGCUAGGAGACGGGCCCUCUGCACACAUUCCGUACGUUCCUUUAUGUGCAAUACACGAUGUCACUGACUCAGUUCUAAUUUUAAAUGGCAGAUUUAGAAAACCAGGCUUUCCAACUAAGAUUUACUAUCUCUGAUCACUUACUUAACUGGCUGAAAGGAAUAAAAUCCUGAAUGGGA